Molecule: long non-coding RNA, 751 nt
Filed under: Mus musculus (house mouse)
Lineage: Eukaryota; Metazoa; Chordata; Mammalia; Rodentia; Muridae
Description: long non-coding RNA chr2:179364292-179365043
Source: RNAcentral
CAUGGGCCAUGAGAUCUGAGGUCAGAGGAAAGGCACCUGGGUUGUGUAUUCUGCAGUCAGACACAUGAAACACCAGCUUGUCUGCGUGCUGUGGACUUUGCUGAGCAACACGGCCAUAUUAAGUGCAUUGCAAAGAACAUCAUUCAUGACCCUGGCUAUGGCACUCCCUUGUAAAGGGUGGCCUUUCAUGAUCCCUACCCAUCUAAGAAGCGGAGGAAGCUGUUCACCCCUGCAGGGGGAAUCCACACCUGGCAAUCUGUGUACUGAGGCACAAAGGCCCACACAGUAGCAGCAAUGCUUUGCCCAUGGGCACUACUGCUGAAGGUACUGUGAUGUGUUGUCUGGAGGAGAAUCCUGGGAAGAGGCAAGCUGGCACAAGCCUCCAGGAUUUCUCCCACAAUCAUCUCCCAUGACUGUGGAGCCCAAGAAGACCCAACUAAAGCUUCCUUCAGGAUCCAAGGUGAUUUUCUCAGCCAUGAGAGCUAUUGUUGGCAUGGUUGCCAGGGGAGACAGAAUUGACAAACUUAACUGUCUCUGUGUACCACAAGUACAAGGCAAACAGGAAAUGCUGGACAUGUGUCCAAGGCCUGGCCAUGAAUACUGCAGAUCAUCCCUUUGGAUGUGGUAACCACCCACACAUUUGCAGGCCCUCUAUUAUUUAAAGAGAUGCCCCUUCUGGGUGCAAACCGGGUCUCAUUGCAUGCAUACUGCAGAUAUUCAUACACAGGUGCGCACAAGCAAAGUUUUACAA